This 254-nucleotide ribosomal RNA is filed under the name uncultured bacterium. RNAcentral describes it as "partial 16S ribosomal RNA". It matches the Rfam family "Bacterial small subunit ribosomal RNA", at positions 526 to 779 of the family's 1533-position model. The record is from RNAcentral.
CAGAGGGUGCAAGCGUUGUUCGGAAUUAUUGGGCGUAAAGCGCGUGUAGGCGGCUUUGCAAGUCGGGUGUGAAAGCCCUCAGCUCAACUGAGGAAGUGCGCCCGAAACUGCAGAGCUUGAGUACCGGAGAGGAUGGCGGAAUUCCCCAAGUAGAGGUGAAAUUCGUAGAUAUGGGGAGGAACACCGGUGGCGAAGGCGGCCAUCUGGACGGAUACUGACGCUGAGACGCGAAAGCGUGGGUAGCAAACAGGAUU